CUAGUUGGGCAGCCAGGAAAUGUCCAUGGUCCAGAUUCCACUAUCAAUGGAGGGUUUAUAUCUUCAAUUCCAUCACCAUUUCAAAUUUCUCAUUUGAAAGAGUUUCAACAUCCGUACAUGGAUAAAGCAUCUUGUCAGAUUCUAGGCUCAAAGAAUUCAUGGGCUUUGACAGAAAAUCCUCUAUGUUCAGGCAGGGAAGGAGGAGGCCCACAAACAAGGGGGAAUCUCAAGUUUUCCUCUUAUGUUCCAGUUGAUCAAACCUCUCUUGGAAAUGAGUCAUCUCUGGUUCCUUUGGAUUUAACAAGGAAUGUGGAACCUCUUGAUGUAGCAGGGC
This 334-nucleotide unclassified non-coding RNA is filed under the name Hevea brasiliensis (rubber tree). Lineage: Eukaryota; Viridiplantae; Streptophyta; Magnoliopsida; Malpighiales; Euphorbiaceae. The record is from RNAcentral.